Molecule: non-coding RNA, 26 nt
Filed under: Cricetulus griseus (Chinese hamster)
Lineage: Eukaryota; Metazoa; Chordata; Mammalia; Rodentia; Cricetidae
Source: RNAcentral
GUGGAGGACGAAGAGCGGGAGGAGGG